Molecule: ribosomal RNA, 253 nt
Filed under: uncultured bacterium
Lineage: Bacteria
Description: partial 16S ribosomal RNA
Rfam family: Bacterial small subunit ribosomal RNA
Source: RNAcentral
UACGAAGGGGGCGAGCGUUGUUCGGAUUUACUGGGCGUAAAGGGCGCGCAGGCGGCUCAUUUUGUCAGGCGUGAAAGCCCCGGGCUUAACCUGGGAACUGCGUUUGAUACGGAUGGGCUAGAGUUCGGGAGAGGAGAGUGGAAUUCCCAGUGUAGAGGUGAAAUUCGUAGAUAUUGGGAAGAACACCGGUGGCGAAGGCGGCUCUCUGGACCGAGACUGACGCUGAGGCACGAAAGCGUGGGGAGCAAACGGG